ACCCGCUGAAUUUAAGCAUAUCAAUAAGCGGAGGAAAAGAAACCAACAGGGAUUGCCUUAGUAACGGCGAGUGAAGCGGCAAAAGCUCAAAUUUGAAAUCGGCCACCAGGUCGAGUUGUAAUUUGUAGAUUGUAUCUUGAGAGCGGAUUAAAGUCUGUUGGAACACAGCGCCUUAGAGGGUGACAGCCCCGUAAAAUCUAUUCUCAUUGUAAGAUACUUUCGAAGAGUCGAGUUGUUUGGGAAUGCAGCUCUAAGUGGGAGGUAAAUUCCUUCUAAAGCUAAAUAUUGACGAGAGACCGAUAGCGAACAAGUACUGUGAAGGAAAGAUGAAAAGCACUUUGAAAAGAGAGUGAAAAAGUACGUGAAAUUGUUAAAAGGGAAGGGUAUUGAAUCAGACUUGGUGCUGUUGUUCAACUGUGUUUCGGCACAGUGUACUCAGCAGUACUAGGCCAAGGUGGGGUGUUUGGGAGUGAAAAAGAAGUUGGAACGUAACUCUUCGGAGUGUUAUAGCCUACUUUCAUAGCUCCUCAGGCGCCUCAGGACUGCGCUUCGGCAAGGACCUUGGCAUAAUGAUUCUAUACCGCCCGUCUUGAAACACGGACCAAGGAG
RNAcentral lists this ribosomal RNA (609 nucleotides) under uncultured fungus. Its description in RNAcentral is "eukaryotic LSU rRNA". It matches the Rfam family "Eukaryotic large subunit ribosomal RNA", at positions 23 to 673 of the family's 3401-position model. The record is from RNAcentral. Lineage: Eukaryota; Fungi.